CCUACGGGAGGCAGCAGUAAGGAAUCUUCCACAAUGGACGAAAGUCUGAUGGAGCAACGCCGCGUGCAGGAUGAAGGCUUUCGGGUCGUAAACUGCUUUUAUAUGGGAAGAUUAUGACGGUACCAUAUGAAUAAGGACCGGCUAACUACGUGCCAGCAGCCGCGGUAAUACGUAGGGUCCAAGCGAUAUCCGGAAUUACUGGGCGUAAAGCGUGUGUAGGUGGAUUAAUAAGUGUGAUGCGAAAUCCGGCGGCUCAACCGUUUGGACUGUGUCGCAUACUGUUAGUCUAGAGGACGGCAGAGGUAAGUGGAAUUACGGGUGUAGCAGUGAAAUGCGUAGAUAUCCGUAGGAACACCAAUGGCGAAGGCAGCUUACUGGGCCACACCUGACACUGAGACACGAAAGCGUGGGGAGCGAACAGGAUUAGAUACCCUGGUAGUCCACGCCGUAAACGAUGCAUACUAUUAGUAUGGGGUAUCGACCCCCUGUGCUGAGAAGCUAACGCGAUAAGUAUGCCGCCGUCGGGAGGUACGAGCGCGACGACGUUAAACCUAACGAAAGGAAGUAGACGGCGUGAGACGUGCCGACGGACGACCGACGAGGGAGGUUAGG
This 612-nucleotide ribosomal RNA is filed under the name uncultured bacterium. Its description in RNAcentral is "bacterial SSU rRNA". The stretch from base 1 to 520 matches the Rfam family "Bacterial small subunit ribosomal RNA", at positions 338 to 873 of the family's 1533-position model. The record is from RNAcentral.